RNAcentral lists this ribosomal RNA (153 nucleotides) under Escherichia coli. Its description in RNAcentral is "partial 16S ribosomal RNA". It matches the Rfam family "Bacterial small subunit ribosomal RNA", at positions 1 to 145 of the family's 1533-position model. Lineage: Bacteria; Pseudomonadati; Pseudomonadota; Gammaproteobacteria; Enterobacterales; Enterobacteriaceae. The record is from RNAcentral.
UUAAAUUGAAGAGUUUGAUCAUGGCUCAGAUUGAACGCUGGCGGCAGGCCUAACACAUGCAAGUCGACCGGUAACAGGCAGAAGCUUGCUUCUUUGCUGCCGAGUGGCGGACGGGUGAGUAAUGUCUGGGACACUGCCUGAUGGAGGGGGAUA